This is a long non-coding RNA of Bubalus bubalis (water buffalo), 1184 nucleotides long. RefSeq lists it as uncharacterized. NCBI's taxonomy places the organism in Eukaryota, Metazoa, Chordata, Mammalia, Artiodactyla, Bovidae. The transcript is spliced from 4 exons. The record is from RefSeq and is a predicted model, not a curated record.
CCGCAGCCCGCCAAGCUUCCCUGUCCUCUGCUGUCUCCCGGCGUUUGCUCAAACUCACGUCCAUCAUGUGAUACAUCGAUUAGGUAAAUUCUUUGCUCGGUUUCAGAACAGGAAGCGUGGAGAGUGUGCCUGAAGACUAAAUAGAGAAGUUCAGUAGGAACAAAUGAAACUCUGGGUACACGUUCCCACAAGGAGCACAGCCACACCCAGCAGACGGCUGUCCUCACAGCCCCCGACACCAGCAGGGUCUUCCCAGCGCUUCCUGUGGGUGGCAGACUGGAUCCUGGCGAAACGAAGCGGCUUCAGUCACCUGGUUAGACACAGGAGGAACUUUUAAAACAAAAUGGGCAGCAGAGCUCUGGACAGUGACCGGCGCCCCCUGCAGAGAAAACCAUCCCUGCUGUGGAAUCAAUAAUCUCUACAGACCAGACUCUUGCUCGUUGAUUAGAUGGGGAAGUAUCCGCCUGCAGUGCAGGAGACACAGCUUUUGUUUUUCAGAUCAGAAAGUGGGCAAGGAGGAGUUAAACCACCAGCCCUUGUCAGGAGCAGAGGCGCCAGACAACCUGCCUCUGGUCUCCGGGCUCUUCCUGCGCUUUAGAACUCACAGCCUCGUGGGAAUGUCAAAGGGCCCAGGAUUCACCUGAGAGGGCUCCCGGGACCAAGGCUGGAACAGUCUGAGCAAGAAGAUGGGUGGUGCGUGAUCUGAUGCUGAGCACCCACAAGUGCAUACCGACGUAAGUGCAUCGUUGAAUGAACAAACAAGUGGGGGAGAAUAAACUAAUCUCCACGCAGAAGAAACUUAAAGAAUCUGCGUGAAUAUUCCACGCUGAGGGGAGCGGACCACAGCACCCUCCUCCCUGCGGCGGGGCUGCACGGUGACGGCCUCCCAAAGAGCAAGAAAGAGAGAAGCAACCAACGCCGCUGAGGGCGGCCGACCGAGGUCCACAGCAGCAGGGGGACACCCCGAUGCACUGCCGCCUUCAGGAGCUGCGGUUAGGACUGUGCCUGGCCUCUGCGGACUCAGCGCAUUUAUGUUUAAGCCAUUUGUGACCAAUUUUGGUUUCAACAUACCUUCUUAAAACGUUUCCUCAUUCCUCCUGUUCUGUGUUCACUUUUCUUCCUUAUUUUUAACGGAUGAUUUUAUUUUUUUUUACUGUUCUAUGUUCUACUGUGCUGCUGUUAAG